GGGUUUGAACCUGUAUCACAGCAGUGACCCAAGCUGCAGGAUUGACAUCAGAUCCUUAACCAGGGAACUCCCUAAUGGCACUUUUAUUUCUUUAAGGCUUGCAUCCAUUUAAAAAUAUUCUAUGCCAAGUGAAAGAUGCCAGAUACAAAGGGAUAUAUCAUGUACAAGUCCAUAUAAAUCACAUUCUGUAAAAGGCAAGGCAUAGGGUCAAAAUUCAUAUCAAUGGUUGCCAAGGACUAGGAGUUGAGGGAACAAAUUGACUCCAAAUUGAGGGAAUUUGGGAGGUAAAGGAAGUAUUUUUAUCUUUAUUUUUAUGUUUUUGCUUUUUAGGGCUACACCCUUGGCAUAUGGAAAUUCCCAGGCCAGGGGUUGAAUCAGAACUGUAGCUGCUGGCAACAGUGCAGGAUUUGAGCCCUACCCUGGGAACUUCCAUAUGCCCAUAUGCCACAGGUGUGGCUCUAAAAUAAAUAAAUAAAUAAAUAAAUAAAUAAAUAAAUAAUAAAAAUAAGAAAAUAGAAAAAAUUUUACCAAACUCAGCCAGUAUCCAUACAUGCGAAAGCUCAAAAGAGUAUAUUGAGGAAGCUCAAUGACACAAACAUUUGAUUAAAAAUAAAACAUGGUAUUUAAUAAAUAUUAAAAAAUAAAAUAAAUAAGUAAAUAAAAAUUUAAUACUGGACAUUGUAGGUGAUUCUGUUAUCUUCCUCUAGAGACUAUUUAUGUUUAUCAAGCAAUUAACUUGAGAUGAGCGGCAGCUGCUAUUUCUGCUCAGUUCUUUUGGUUUCCAGUUAUCUUUUUCUGGUUGUUUUCUGCUGGGCUCCUUGGUAGUCUCUGCACAUGCACAGGUCAGGAGUCAGCCAAGGAUUUGAUCAGAUUUUAUAUGCAUUUUUAAGAAGCCUCUGUGGUUUCUUCUAAACUUGAUUAUCUAGAGUUUCCUAGUGGUUCAGAGGGUUAGGGAUCUGGCGUUGUCACUGCUGUGGCUCUGGUUACUGCUAUGGCACAGAUUCAGAUCCCUGCUCUGGGAACUUCUGUAUGCCGUGGAUGCUGCCAAAACAAAAUAAAAUAAAAUAAACUUGAUUCUCUGACUUGUCAAACCAGUAAGACUAGCAACUUUAUGCUUGAAUUCUGGCCAUCCUAUGCUAGGUGUUCCGGAUAGUACCUUCAGACAAAAUCCUUAUGAUCACAAAUCUUAUCCACGGCACCUCCCUUCUGACCAUGGUUGACUCCCCUCCAGUUUCCUCUUGCUGGUAUUCUCUUCAGUUCCUUCAAAUAAUUGUAUUCUUUUAUUUUGUCCAGAGUCCAUAAUUUUUAUAAUACAAUAUAGGCUACUCCACCACUCCUGGAAGCAGAACCUCCAACUUUUGUUUCAAAACACUCCAGUGAGGAUGUUGACUUGUCUGAAAUUUAAAGAAAAGAUCCAAGGACCCUAUGUGUUUGCAAGACUGAUGAAAGGACUCUCUUGGCUGUGGGCAGCACCUCCAGGUCCCUUCAGGGAUAUGGGCUCAAGCCACACAAGAGGAAGAAAACCUACAGAUUAAGUCAAAAGGUCUUUUCAGAUGCAAAGCCCAGUUCUCAACUCCACUCUCUGCUGCCUCCCAGACCCUGCACGAGAAGCUGCAGACACCAGAGUGGCAAGUGUACCGUGUCAGCUGUGGUGUGAGUGACUGCGAUUAGAUCUCUUGAGGACUUCUGAGGGGAGAUUUAACAUGAAGGAGACCAGGUGAGUGGCAAAAACUGCUGUUGAGAGGAGGAGGUCAAGAUGUCAGGAAGAUGGGGUGAUCAAGGAGGGAAGAGGAUGUGGCAGAGAAAAUAAUUAAAAAGAAUAGUUAGGGAGUUCCCGUUGUGGCUCAGCAGGUCACACGCCCAGCAAGUAUCCUUGAGGAUGCCUGUUCAAUCCCUGGCCUUGCUCAGUGGGUUAAGGAUCACGAGCUGUGGUGUAGGUCACAGAUGUGGCUCAGAUCUGGUGUUGCUGUGGCUGUGGUGUAGGCCGGCAUCUGCAGCUCCAAUUCGACUCUUAGCCUGGAAACUUUCAUAUGCUGCAGGUGCAGGCCUAAAAAGAAAAAAAAAAAAA
RNAcentral lists this long non-coding RNA (2068 nucleotides) under Sus scrofa (pig). RNAcentral's name for it is "lncRNA (ENSSSCG00055011049.1)". Lineage: Eukaryota; Metazoa; Chordata; Mammalia; Artiodactyla; Suidae. The record is from RNAcentral.